UUUAAAAAAAAAAAGCAAGUAACAAAAGCAAAACAAGAGAAUGAGUGGUUUGAUCAAGAGACAUUUGGACAGAGGUUAUGAAAUAGUUCAAUGUGAAAAAUUAGAGAAUACAAUUUGUACUAGAGUUAGAACAACCAAUAUAACAAAACUGUACCAUACUUCUAAGAUUCAAGAUAUCCUUCAUAGAAUAUUAGAAUAGCAACUUGCUGUACUGAAUAUGAAUGUAAUAGGUAGAGAAAAUCCAGAGAAUUGCUCAGUGGCCAUUUAAGGCACAAAAAUUUUCUGGCCAAACAAUUGGUUAGAGUACAGCAAACAUUCCAACUUUGACUAAAAGAAAGAAGCAUUCAACGAGCGUAUAAAGAAGAUUAGUGAGAGGUGCAUAUAUAUUCAUGUACCAAACAUCAAACACUUGGUCCUCAAUAUAAAAAAUUCUUGAAGGAAUAAAUCACGCCCUUCAAAAUCAUCAAUGGCAAGACAAUAGCCUCCUAUUUUCAAACCCACAUAUCAUUUGAGUGAUAAAAACUAAACUUCAACUAGCUUUGCCAGAUGUCCAGGACAUUUUGGUAAAGGAUAUAUUCCCUUGCCUGGAGACCCAUUGGCACAAACAAAAUCUAAGGCAAACUUUGAGAACAUAUGUUAUUGUAACACUAGGAAAUUGCUAACUUGAAAAAAGGCCAUGGAGGCAUUGCAAAUUGAGGCACCAGGAAAUGGAAAUUUUAUGGCUUAAUAAAAUCACUUGACCAUCAUAUUAAGCUACAUAAGUAUCAUAAAGUUUGCAUCUUAACAUAAGUUUAAAGCAACAUUACCAAGGCUUGACCAGGUUGGAUACAUGUUGAAAGGAAGGUUUUCUUAAAGACAUACUGACACAGAUGAAAAUUUCAUUUCAGAAACUCCAUUUGAGAAUAACAAGUAGGAAAAAGCCAUAUUUCCCAACUAUUGGUGUAUAUAGGAUACCAUGUCUUUCAUCGCUGCCUUUUCACACUUUCUCAUUUAUGAUUUGCUCAGCCUCAUAGCAAAUUCAAGUUACAACACAUCUCUCAUGCUGGUGUAGUAAUUUCCCCAAAUUCACAUGGGAAAAUAAUCUAGUCUAAUUGCUAUAAUAUUUUUUAACUGCAGUUCUCAUAAAAGCAAUUUUUAUAACAUAAACUAGCCAGGCAUUUUUAAUAACAUUCGCAAUCCAGCCUUAUCAAAUUCUUAAGUGAUUUUCCAACAAAAUGACCAUUGAGCAUAUAUGACAAUUACUGAAUUUAUAACUAGAUAUAAUGCUUCCUCUGCAUACCGCUUGCCUUACAACUGUUUAUUCCUUCACUUCUUAUUUUAGUUCCAAACUCACAAUAAAUUCGCAUUCGUAUCCAAGAUUUUAUCUCCAUUAUCCAACGAAGUUAAAGAUUCUAUAAAGACACAAAAACCCAAAAGCUUAUCAAAUAGCUGGGAUUUUUCUAGACUCGUGUUCAUGUAUAAGGUAUCCGUCUUCACUUACGUCGCAAGAGAAUAUCACGACAAGCCUACAGCCCUUCAACAUCUCACAUCAAAUUGGAAUAACUUGAAUUAUCCAGUAAAUAAUAUAUGGAAGUCAGAAACCCACAUACAGGAAGUGGAAAGAUAUGUAUAUUCAAAUAUGUAGGAAUGUCACCAACAAUAAAGUAGUGAAUGAAAAAAGAACCUGAAAUCGGAUAAUGAACUCUUCCUCCUUAUCAACGAAGAAAUCAUUGAACUUGUCGAGCUCUUCAUUUAAAAUUCUAAUAAACCAUUCUUGGAGGAGCACCAAGGACCUGUUUGUACCACUCUCAGGAUGAGGAUAAUCAGCAGAAGCAGGGGCAGGGGGAGACGGAAGCCGUUGAUGGAGAAGAAAAAUAGGGUGAAAGGUGGAAGAGCCAUCAGAAGUUGCAGGGAACUGCUUGAGGAGUUUCUUGAGGGGCUUGUAGCACAGAAACUUGUCCCUCCAGUCCGGCAGGGUUUCCUCAAGGUGGGUCUUGAACUCCUUCCCAAACUUCAUAGCUUAUGUUUGAUUUUUCUGUCUUGAUUAUCUCGAUGGGCCGC
RNAcentral lists this unclassified non-coding RNA (2040 nucleotides) under Hevea brasiliensis (rubber tree). The record is from RNAcentral. Lineage: Eukaryota; Viridiplantae; Streptophyta; Magnoliopsida; Malpighiales; Euphorbiaceae.